Long non-coding RNA from Malaclemys terrapin pileata, 323 nucleotides. RefSeq lists it as uncharacterized. The transcript is spliced from 3 exons. Lineage: Eukaryota; Metazoa; Chordata; Testudines; Emydidae. The record is from RefSeq and is a predicted model, not a curated record.
UACAGGGCACUGGGUUUGCAUCACUGGUCACCACUACCUUGUUUGUCUGUCUUCUAUUGGGUGUUGGUUUUCUGAGGAGGAUGUGAGCAUUCUAGUUACUGAUGGGGCCCCUGUCAUGGGGGGGAAAGGGCCAUGAGUAUUGUGUAAAUUGGGGAUCUGAGUCCAGAACUGAGGGAAUGGGCUGUGGUAAGUGCGCCCUGUUUGGUUUACAUGGUUCCUGGUAAUGGUAGUGCCAGUGGGAGCAGAGGAACUGCUUGCAUCCAUGAGGUACUUAAGAGGCUUUGGGAGGUGCAGUUUGUGAAAGAAUGUCGUGCAAGGUGUGU